UACGGAGGGUGCAAGCGUUAUUCGGAAUUACUGGGCGUAAAGCGUGCGUAGACGGUUAUGUAAGUCGGGUGUGAAAGCCCCGGGCUCAACCUGGGAAUGCCAUUCGAGACUGCAUAGCUAGGGUGCGGAAGAGGGAAGCGGAAUUUCCGGUGUAGCGGUGAAAUGCGUAGAUAUCGGAAGGAACACCAUGGGCGAAAGCGGCUUCCUGGUCCAGCACCGACGUUCAGGCACGAAAGCGUGGGGAGCAAACAGG
This 253-nucleotide ribosomal RNA is filed under the name uncultured bacterium. RNAcentral describes it as "partial 16S ribosomal RNA". It matches the Rfam family "Bacterial small subunit ribosomal RNA", at positions 524 to 776 of the family's 1533-position model. The record is from RNAcentral.